RNAcentral lists this ribosomal RNA (504 nucleotides) under uncultured bacterium. RNAcentral's name for it is "partial 16S ribosomal RNA". It matches the Rfam family "Bacterial small subunit ribosomal RNA", at positions 29 to 507 of the family's 1533-position model. The record is from RNAcentral.
ACGAACGCUGGCGGCGUGCCUAAUACAUGCAAGUAGAACGCACGGUUUAUACCGUAGCUUGCUACACCAUAGACUGUGAGUUGCGAACGGGUGAGUAACGCGUAGGUAACCUGCCUGGUAGCGGGGGAUAACUAUUGGAAACGAUAGCUAAUACCGCAUAAUAUUAAUUAUUGCAUGAUAAUUGAUUGAAAGAUGCAACUGCAUCACUACCAGAUGGACCUGCGUUGUAUUAGCUAGUAGGUGAGGUAACGGCUCACCUAGGCGACGAUACAUAGCCGACCUGAGAGGGUGAUCGGCCACACUGGGACUGAGACACGGCCCAGACUCCUACGGGAGGCAGCAGUAGGGAAUCUUCGGCAAUGGACGAAAGUCUGACCGAGCAACGCCGCGUGAGUGAAGAAGGUUUUCGGAUCGUAAAGCUCUGUUGUAAGAGAAGAACGGGUGUGAGAGUGGAAAGUUCACACUGUGACGGUAUCUUACCAGAAAGGGACGGCUAACUACGUG